ACAUUCCUAAUAGGGAUUCUUGAAACCUGCACAACAAUCAUAAUCAAUAUAUAGAGUUGCCGAGAUCCAUGGUUGCAGACAAUAGGUAUAAAGUUUUAAUUGUUCUUUAUAUUGGUUUGUCUAUUUCUCUUCGAUUCUUUUGAAGAUUUAGGUGAAGUGAGGCUAAUUCAAACAAUGGAUGUCUCAUCAAUUUCGAUUCGUUUGCUUGGAUGCAAAUCAUACAAAAUGGACAACAUAGUUCCAUAGGAACCGGUACUUCAUUAAGAUGCUGGCGACGAGAUGUAAGGUGAUGUAAUUCAGUGGUCGGUGCCUUUGGUUGAUAUGUGGUAGUUUUGGGGUUUGGUAGUGGUGGUUUUGGAAUCUCUUACUAUGAAUUGCUUAUUUAUUUAGGUGACAGACCUUUAAAAAGGGAAGAUGGUCUACUACUCUGUAAGUGUUGGGAGUAUUAUGCAUCCAAAUUCCAAUUUUAUUUUGCAUAUAAAUAUGAUUCAUUCUUUGAUUAGUACAAACAAAAUGGAUUAGAGUCAUGGUGAUAGUUGCUCCAACAAAUUAAAUCUUUAAAUAUAACGCAAUACUGCUUUAUUCAUGUUCAAAAACGAAGGAUUGAUAUACAGAAACUUAGGGAUUUUUUUCCGAAAGUGACCGAGUUUCCAAUGAAAUAUUUGGAUCGACUGGGAAGUGGAAAACCCAUGAAAAGUGAAAUCAAAUGGAACAGUAAUAGUGAGCACAUGCAACCAAGGACAUGAAAAGUGAAUUGGAGUAACAAAUUUAAAGUUGUGAGAAACAAUGUCGCGGUUAAACUAUCAGUGCAAGAUUUAGUUGUCGGCCAACAAUUGUUUAUAGUUACACUGAUGUUGUCGUUAACAUUUGUGAUGUUAUUUUUAAAGUCAUAUGUGUUUUUGUUAAAAUUGAUUUCUCUUUUGAUAUAAGUUUUUAUCUUCUCAUAUGGUUCAUCAUCUCAAGGUUUCCGAUGGUGACCCUACUAACACAACAUUAAUAUAGAUUCUUAUUUAUGUUAAGAAUUCCUACUAACAAAAAGUAACUUGCUUCUUCAGAAAAAUCAAUUCUUUUAAUUGUUUUACAUGAGCAAUUUUUUUGAGCUAUCGUGUUUCUAUAUUGUUUCUCUAACAACUCCAAUGAUUUUGAUAAUUGGAUAAGUAUGUACAACAAAGGAAAGAUUCUUCCCUUUUAGUUUUAUCAUCAAAUGUUAGUGAUUGACCACUCUUUUUUGUCCUUGAUGAACAAUCCACUUGAUGUUGUUUAAGCGUGUCAAGCUCCAAAACACAUGAAAUAUGAGCUGGAGAA
Long non-coding RNA from Papaver somniferum (opium poppy), 1305 nucleotides. RefSeq lists it as uncharacterized. The record is from RefSeq and is a predicted model, not a curated record. The transcript is spliced from 4 exons. Lineage: Eukaryota; Viridiplantae; Streptophyta; Magnoliopsida; Ranunculales; Papaveraceae.